AGAGUUUGAUCCUGGCUCAGAUUGAACGCUGGCGGCAGGCCUAACACAUGCAAGUCGAACGGUAGCACAGAGAGCUUGCUCUCGGGUGACGAGUGGCGGACGGGUGAGUAAUGUCUGGGAAACUGCCUGAUGGAGGGGGAUAACUACUGGAAACGGUAGCUAAUACCGCAUAAUGUCGCAAGACCAAAGAGGGGGACCUUCGGGCCUCUUGCCAUCAGAUGUGCCCAGAUGGGAUUAGCUAGUAGGUGGGGUAAUGGCUCACCUAGGCGACGAUCCCUAGCUGGUCUGAGAGGAUGACCAGCCACACUGGAACUGAGACACGGUCCAGACUCCUACGGGAGGCAGCAGUGGGGAAUAUUGCACAAUGGGCGCAAGCCUGAUGCAGCCAUGCCGCGUGUAUGAAGAAGGCCUUCGGGUUGUAAAGUACUUUCAGCGAGGAGGAAGGCAUUAAGGUUAAUAACCUUGGUGAUUGACGUUACUCGCAGAAGAAGCACCGGCUAACUCCGUGCCAGCAGCCGCGGUA
Molecule: ribosomal RNA, 523 nt
Filed under: uncultured Pseudomonadota bacterium
Lineage: Bacteria; Pseudomonadati; Pseudomonadota
Description: bacterial SSU rRNA
Rfam family: Bacterial small subunit ribosomal RNA
Source: RNAcentral